UAACGUAGGGUGCGAAGCGUUAAUCGGAAUUACUGGGGCGUAAAGCGUGCGCAGGCGGUUGUGCAAGACCGAUGUGAAAUCCCCGGGCUUAACCUGGGAAUGGCAUUGGUGACUGCACGGCUAGAGUGUGUCAGAGGGGGGUAGAAGUUCCACGUGUAGCAGUGAAAUGCGUAGAGAUGUGGAGGAAUACCGAUGGCGAAGGCAGCCCCUGGGACUACGACUGACGCUCAUGCACGAAAGCGUGGGGAGCGAACAGG
RNAcentral lists this ribosomal RNA (257 nucleotides) under uncultured bacterium. RNAcentral's name for it is "partial 16S ribosomal RNA". It matches the Rfam family "Bacterial small subunit ribosomal RNA", at positions 523 to 776 of the family's 1533-position model. The record is from RNAcentral.